This 205-nucleotide long non-coding RNA is filed under the name Lathyrus oleraceus (garden pea). RNAcentral describes it as "Pisum sativum (pea) long non-coding RNA (PSAT_LNC011549)". The record is from RNAcentral. Lineage: Eukaryota; Viridiplantae; Streptophyta; Magnoliopsida; Fabales; Fabaceae.
GGUCUUGAUGAGUACAUUCCAAAUAUCAUAAAAGCUAACCCUAAUUCUCAACAUAUUUUCUGGAUCGAAGGAAAUAAGUUUCUAGAUCUAAACUUUAAUUCAACAUAACUCACUCAAUUUUCAUCCAAAUUCAACAAAAUUUAUAUCAGAAUUCUCAGUGAUGAAAGCUCUACAAGUUUAUGUACAUAAAAUCAAGAUUUAUGAG